Molecule: long non-coding RNA, 324 nt
Filed under: Macaca mulatta (Rhesus monkey)
Lineage: Eukaryota; Metazoa; Chordata; Mammalia; Primates; Cercopithecidae
Description: lncRNA (ENSMMUG00000058873.1)
Source: RNAcentral
GCUGAUUCAUCAGCUCACAGUGAAACGAGCUUGCAUGAGAGCAUCCCAGGAUCACUGAACAUUCAGAGAUGCUGUGCUGGGGCCUGAGCAAAGCCAGGCAAGAUGUGGUUCCUGCUAUCAAGCUGACUGACAUCUAUCAGAAAGAACAGAUCACGACAUGGUAUCCUGCUAUGUUGACGAGGCUGGUCUCAAACUCCUGGACCCACGAGACUCUCCUGCCUUGGCCUCCCAAAGUGCUGGGAUUACAGAGAUGAGCCACUGUGCCUGGCCACUGUUUUUUAAAUAUUAAGAAAAAAAUGAAUAGAGAGAAGGUGAGCAGAAAGG